GAGGGCAGUCAUGCCCCAAGUGCAGUGUUUUUGUGAUUAGGCACAACUGAAGCUUGUUAGCAAUAAUAUGACCCUGUGAUUAAUUGAGCGGCUGACCAAUCAUUACCUCCUCCUCCCUGCUCUUUCUACCCAAUAAAUACAAAGGGCUGUGGAAGCUCAAUGGGCUGCCUUUGCUCAUUAGAAGCAGGGAGCUCUCUUCUUCUUCCCCUGGAUCCUUCCUUUAAAAUAGUUUCUUUUGUCUUAAGUUUUCAUUUCUACGUUUGUCCCUUCAUUCAGUCUCUUAAAUGACGGUCUCAAGCAGUAACAGUAGUAAUUGCUGUAAUGACGGUCUCAAGUAGUAACCAGGGCACUCUGCCACAAGUGGCACCUGAACAGGGACUAACAGGGACUAUCAAGAACAAACGGAGACCUGAAGAGACCUGAAGGGAACUGAAGAGGUCUGCAGGGACAAAUAGAGAUAAGUAGGGAUAAAUAGAGAUAAAUAGAGACAAAUAGAGAUAGGUAAGGAAUGACAGGGACUUGCAGGAAGUAACAGGGACCAUAGGGACAGAUAGGGAUAGAUAAAGACUAGCAAAGACUAGCCGAGAUUAGCAAAGACCAGCAAGGACUAGCAGAGACUAGCAAAGACUAGCAGAAACUUGCAGGGACAGGCAGAGACAGAUAGGGACAGAUAGGGUCCUACAGGGACUUGAACGAGGAAGAUCUGCUGGAAAAGAAAAGAACUACAACCAACCAGAUGAACAAGAAACCCUGUUACAAGUCUGCUGGCAGCAACAUAAGGAAAUGAACAAAAAGUGUGGGUGCCCCCAAGGUGUGUACUACCAUGGAAUGGGAGAUUGGAGGGACACAUGGAUCCCAACCGUGGGCCUGGUUCCCCCAGUAUGAGCUGAAUACGAAGACAGAACAAACCACCAACCGGCAAUUGAAGUAAAUGAUAGCUCCUUACAAAUACAGAGGACAAAAUAAAAGUGACUUAAUUAUAAAAACACAGUGACACAAAGUGAACCGGGUUCUAUAAAUUACCAUGGAAAGUGGUGAGCCAACGAUUUGGCAGAACAAAACCCUGAGGAUAUGCAAACAAAAGGGACUAUGGAAUUUGCAAUUGCAGAUUAAAAUUGAAGAAGAAAACAUUUGAGUUGCAAAUACCGUAUUAAAAGUGGACACUGCUUAUGACUGCUGUAUGCAACAGUUUUUCAGGCCCGAGAGGAACCCAGACAUGCUCUAUUUGCAAACCGACUGCAUGAAACAAAAAGCACGGUAAUUCUGAAGCUGUUGGCUUGGAUGAAAUGAGAAUGUAAUUAAAAAGAAAAAGGUUAGCAAAAGAACAUGCUGGGAAUUGAAAAUAAAAAUCUGAAAUGAUGUCCCAGCCUGCCCUUAAGGUCUUUUCCACCAUGUAGAGAGCUACCUCAAAUGCUCUACUUGUCCCAGAGUCUAUGUUCUUUCACUACUAUUGCCUAUAUCUGUGUUUUCUGCUUUCAAUAAUCUAUUGAAAUAAUCAAAAUUAAUUACAUUCAGCAUUUUUUCUGUAUUACUCUGAUUCUAAUAAUUACCUCAAAUUUAUUUGUGCAUUUCUAUACUAGAAAGAAAAAAUAAUUUUUAGAGUUUUACUAUAUCUUCCCCUUAAUUCUAAGUUGCUUGUCACUAAUUCCUUUCCCAACACUAUGUUAUUUCCACCAAGAACAUUACCAAUAUCUUCAGGAAAAUUCCACCCCAUAUUUUAAGCCAGAUUGAUUAUUGGGAAUAUAAAUACAUUUAAGAAGGAAAGUCUUUUUGACUGUGUUUCUCCACAGACCAAUAGUAUACAAAACACAGAAGGCUUUUAAGCACAUUUCAUAGGGAUCACUGACUUAGAACAGAAGGAACCAUUUCGUGAAACACUCUCAUUUUGCACAUAAAGGAGCUGUGGCCCACAGAGGAAUAUGAUUUACUGAGAGUGACCCAGUUAGUGGCCAUAAACCAAAAGCCCCAAGAUGCUAAAUGUUUGUUAUGAAGAGUAAAAAUCCUCCCAGUUUAUAAGAAGUAACUUCAUCCUUCCAUUUUCUAUUUCCACGAUGACUCCCCUGGCUUAAAUUUUAAUCUCUAUUUUGGAUGACUCCAAAAUCUCAUUCUUCUAAAUUAAUUAUCUAAUACCACAAUGUUGCACUUAUCUUCCUACAAAUCUACUUUCAUCUGCCUUGACAAAGCCAACCCUAAUUUUCUCUAGUCCUCAUUAGAAAUUAUUGCAACAAAAAUUCACAUCCAGUCUGAAGUUUGGGAGCCAGAAAAGAAUUUUCCCAUUAAGAUGAGACAGUAUCAAUUAUUAAGCAGAGGAAGACACAAGAGGGAAAGCAGCUUUCACAUGAAAAAAAAAGAACUCUGAUUUUCUGACACAUUUUGUCAUUGCAGUCAAACUUUCAGAGUUAGAACUAGAGACCUAGAUAUUAGCUAACCCAGCAUUUUCCAAGUAUUCCUCGGAACUCUAGAGGCACAGCAUAGUACUGGUAAUGAUUUUGUGGCAGGAUAGAUUAAGGAAACCUCACAGUUAUACCAAGUUAAAUUCAUUUAUUUCAUGUAAAAUUCUGAUAGCCUUUUAUGCUACUAGGCCUAGUGAUACUCCAAAAUUAUUGGCCAUAUAUCUGAAAUUUAUUUCAGCAAGAAACCCUUUAAAGAGCAUCCCGCAGAGUUAGUGUUUUGAGGGAUAUCAUUGGGGAAAAUGCUGAUCUAGACCAAUUCAACAAAUUGUAACUUAGUUAACACCAGAGUCAAAACAAAAACCAAGUCUACUCAUGUCUGUCUUAGGCCCUUUUGGUCACAAAAACACGUUCAAACCACUUCAAUUAAGAAAAUGGUGAGAGGGGAAAAGACAAGCAGGGAACCUUAUCCCAGGUGGGCUGAUCACAGGACUUCCAAGGCUGUCCCUUAGAAGAGUCACGAUAAUGGCAUCUCUAGCACAAAACUCAAAUUUAGUUUUAAUUCUUAGUCGAAUAAUAAUACAGUAAAAUUUAUUGCAUGCAUAAGGAUAAUACAUUAAAACUACUUAAAUUACAUUUUAGGGCCGGGCGCGGUGGCUCACGCCUGUAAUCCCAGCACUUUGGGAGGCCGAGGCGGGUGGAUCACGAGGUCAGGA
This 3106-nucleotide long non-coding RNA is filed under the name Homo sapiens (human). RNAcentral's name for it is "HSALNT0210343". Lineage: Eukaryota; Metazoa; Chordata; Mammalia; Primates; Hominidae. The record is from RNAcentral.